ACAUCCAUGGUUGAAUGGUUGAAGCGCCCAACUCAUCAUUGGUGAACUCGCUCACGGGUUCAACUCCUGUUGGAUGCA
Molecule: non-coding RNA, 78 nt
Organism: Picea glauca (white spruce)
Lineage: Eukaryota; Viridiplantae; Streptophyta; Pinopsida; Pinales; Pinaceae
Source: Rfam